AUGGGAGGGCCAGUGGGUGUAGGAAGGGAUAGAAGCAUCCCACUGUGGGGCAGAAGUAUCCCACCACAGGGCAGAAGCAUCCCACUGUGGGGUACCAUCUCGCCAUGGGGCAGAAGCAUCCCACCACAAGGCAGCAUCCCACCAUGGGGUACCAUCCCACCGCGGGGCAGAAGCAUCCAACCAUGGGGCAGAAGCAUCCCACCGUGGGGUAUCAUCCCAGCACAGGCAGAAGCAUCCCACCAUGAGGCAGAAGCAUCCCACCAUGGGGUACCAUCCCACUGUGGGGCAGCAUCUCACAACGGGGCAGAAGCAUCCCACCAUGGGGUACCAUCCCACUGUGGGGUACCAUCCCACCAUAGGGCAGAAGCAUCCCACCAUGGGGUACCAUCCCACUGUGAGGUACCAUCCCACCAUGGGGCAGAAGCAUCCCACCAUGGGGUACCAUCCCACUGUGGGGUACCAUCCCACCAUGGGGCAGAAGCAUCCCACCAUGGGGUACCAUCCCACUACGGGACAGAAGCAUCCCACCGUGGGGUGUCAUCCCACCACAGGCAGAAGCAUCCCACCAUGGGGUACCAUCCCACUGUGGGGUACCAUCCCACCAUGGGACAGAAGCAUCUCACCACAGGGCAGAAGCAUCCCACCGGGGGGUAUCAUCCCACCACAGCGCAUCCCACCGUGGGGUGUCAUCCCACCACAGGCAGAAGCAUCCCACCAUGGGGUACCAUCCCACCAGGGGCAGAAGCAUCCCACAGUGGGAUAUCAUCCCACCACAGGCAGAAGCAUCCCAUCAUGGGGUACCAUCCCACAGUGGGGUAUCAUCCCACCAUGGGGCAGAAGCAUCGCACCAUGGGGUACCAUCCCACCAUGGGGUACCAUCCCACCACGGGGCAGCACAUCCCAGCCCAACCCAGCCCUGUGGGGAGGAGAUGCUGCCGGGAAGCCGAAAAGAGCAGGACAAGGACCAAGCGAGGAGGGCAGAGGCACAGAGGUGUAGGAGAAGAGGAAAGACCCGGAAAGAAGUGGUCGACUUGGAUUUUCAGAUUUCUAGCUACCCCACGACGCCCCGGGGCGGGGGCACCUACCCUAACGCAGGAGGUAUUUCAGGCACGUCUAAGGCAUCGCAGGAGCUCUCUUGGCUUUCAGCAUCGCCUGGGUUUCCUCCCUACAGCUUCUCCCACCAGCACGUGGUGCCAAACGCUAGCAAAGAAAAAAAUCUGGAAGCGGAUGAACAGAGACAAACUCUCAUGCACUACCACCGAACGCCGUCACAGGAGUUAUGAAGCACCAACCACGAACACAGGAUUCACUUUUUUUUACUGGCAGAGCCGAAGCUAACCAUAACACCAAAGGUGAAGAAAAGUGGGGUUCACCAGCCACAGGGAGCUGCCAGCACGUUGAGGGGUGCUGGGCUCCUCGUUAACCCGCCGGCGGGGCCGCUCAAAACCCCCCAGGGCUGCCCUACCACCAGAAAUUAAAAAGCACAAGACCAAACACCGCGUUAACAUCAUAGUCAUCUAAGCCUGUCGCUAUACAUCUGACGACUUAAAUAAAAAAAAAGAAGGUUCUGGAAAGAAACCA
Molecule: long non-coding RNA, 1581 nt
Filed under: Calidris pugnax (ruff)
Lineage: Eukaryota; Metazoa; Chordata; Aves; Charadriiformes; Scolopacidae
Description: lncRNA (ENSCPUG00000018825.1)
Source: RNAcentral